RNAcentral lists this ribosomal RNA (440 nucleotides) under uncultured bacterium. Its description in RNAcentral is "partial 16S ribosomal RNA". It matches the Rfam family "Bacterial small subunit ribosomal RNA", at positions 338 to 795 of the family's 1533-position model. The record is from RNAcentral.
CCUACGGGAGGCAGCAGUAGGGAAUAUUGCUCAAUGGGGGAAACCCUGAAGCAGCAACGCCGCGUGGAGGAUGAAGGUUUUCGGAUUGUAAACUCCUUUUGUUAGAGGAGAUAAUGACGGUAUCUAACGAAUAAGCACCGGCUAACUCCGUGCCAGCAGCCGCGGUAAUACGGAGGGUGCAAGCGUUACUCGGAAUCACUGGGCGUAAAGAGCGCGUAGGCGGGAUAGCAAGUCAGAUGUGAAAUCCUAGGGCUUAACCAUAGAACUGCAUUUGAAACUGUUAUUCUAGAGUAUGGGAGAGGUAUGUGGAAUUCGUGGUGUAGGGGUAAAAUCCGUAGAUAUCAAGAGGAAUACUCAUUGCGAAGGCGACCUGCUAGAACAUAACUGACGCUGAUGCGCGAAAGCGUGGGUAGCAAACAGGAUUAGAUACCCCAGUAGUC